UACGAACUGUGCGAACGUUAUUCGGAAUCACUGGGCUUACAGGGUACGUAGGCGGCUCAACAAGUCAGGUGUGAAAGCCCCCGGCUCAACCGGGGAACUGCGCUUGAAACUGUUAGGCUCGAGUCAGCUAGAGGUACACGGAACUUCCAGUGGAGCGGUGAAAUGUGUUGAUAUUGGAAGGAACACCGGAGGCGAAAGCGGUGUACUGGGGCUGGUCUGACGCUGAGGCACGAAAGCCAGGGGAGCGAACGGG
RNAcentral lists this ribosomal RNA (253 nucleotides) under uncultured bacterium. RNAcentral's name for it is "partial 16S ribosomal RNA". It matches the Rfam family "Bacterial small subunit ribosomal RNA", at positions 524 to 776 of the family's 1533-position model. The record is from RNAcentral.